GAUGAACGCUGGCGGCGUGCCUAAUACAUGCAAGUCGAGCGAACAGAUGAGGAGCUUGCUCCUCUGACGUUAGCGGCGGACGGGUGAGUAACACGUGGAUAACCUACCUAUAAGACUGGGAUAACUUCGGGAAACCGGAGCUAAUACCGGAUAAUAUAUUGAACCGCAUGGUUCAAUAGUGAAAGACGGUUUUGCUGUCACUUAUAGAUGGAUCCGCGCCGCAUUAGCUAGUUGGUAAGGUAACGGCUUACCAAGGCAACGAUGCGUAGCCGACCUGAGAGGGUGAUCGGCCACACUGGAACUGAGACACGGUCCAGACUCCUACGGGAGGCAGCAGUAGGGAAUCUGCCGCAAUGGGCGAAAGCCUGACGGAGCAACGCCGCGUGAGUGAUGAAGGUCUUCGGAUCGUAAAACUCUGUUAUUAGGGAAGAACAAAUGUGUAAGUAACUAUGCACGUCUUGACGGUACCUAAUCAGAAAGCCACGGCUAACUACGU
RNAcentral lists this ribosomal RNA (496 nucleotides) under uncultured bacterium. Its description in RNAcentral is "partial 16S ribosomal RNA". It matches the Rfam family "Bacterial small subunit ribosomal RNA", at positions 28 to 506 of the family's 1533-position model. The record is from RNAcentral.